Molecule: ribosomal RNA, 497 nt
Filed under: uncultured bacterium
Lineage: Bacteria
Description: partial 16S ribosomal RNA
Rfam family: Bacterial small subunit ribosomal RNA
Source: RNAcentral
GAUGAACGCUGGCGGCGUGCCUAAUACAUGCAAGUCGAGCGAACGGACGAGAAGCUUGCUUCUCUGAUGUUAGCGGCGGACGGGUGAGUAACACGUGGAUAACCUACCUAUAAGACUGGGAUAACUUCGGGAAACCGGAGCUAAUACCGGAUAAUAUUUUGAACCGCAUGGUUCAAAAGUGAAAGACGGUCUUGCUGUCACUUAUAGAUGGAUCCGCGCUGCAUUAGCUAGUUGGUAAGGUAACGGCUUACCAAGGCAACGAUGCAUAGCCGACCUGAGAGGGUGAUCGGCCACACUGGAACUGGGACACGGUCCAGACUCCUACGGGAGGCAGCAGUAGGGAAUCUUCCGCAAUGGGCGAAAGCCUGACGGAGCAACGCCGCGUGAGUGAUGAAGGUCUUCGGAUCGUAAAACUCUGUUAUUAGGGAAGAGCAUAUGUGUAAGUAACUGUGCACAUCUUGACGGUACCUAAUCAGAAAGCCACGGCUAACUACGUG